RNAcentral lists this ribosomal RNA (433 nucleotides) under uncultured bacterium. RNAcentral's name for it is "partial 16S ribosomal RNA". It matches the Rfam family "Bacterial small subunit ribosomal RNA", at positions 29 to 507 of the family's 1533-position model. The record is from RNAcentral.
AAUGAACGCUGGCGGCAUGCCUAACACAUGCAAGUCGAACGAAGGCUUCGUCCUUAGUUGCGCACGGGUGCGUAACGCCUGGGAAUCUGCCCCUUGGUUCGGAAUAACAGUUAGAAAUGACUGCUAAUACCGGAUGAUGACGUAAGUCCAAAGAUUUAUCGCCGAGGGAUGAGCCUGCGUAGGAUUUGCUAGUUGGUGUGGUAAGAGCGCCCCAAGACGACGAUCCUUAGCUGGUAUGGGAAGAGGAACAGCCACAAUGGGACUGAGACACGGCCCAGACUGGUACGGGAGGCAGCAGUGGGGAAUAUUGGACAAUGAGCGAAAGCCUGAGCAAGCAAUGCCGCGGGAGUGAUGAAGGGCUUAGGGUUGUAAAGCUCUGUUAGACGGGAUGAAAAUGACAGUACCGGGCGAAUAAGCUCCGGCUAACUACGUG